This 311-nucleotide long non-coding RNA is filed under the name Phoenix dactylifera (date palm). RNAcentral describes it as "long non-coding RNA (PDAC_LNC008766)". The record is from RNAcentral. Lineage: Eukaryota; Viridiplantae; Streptophyta; Magnoliopsida; Arecales; Arecaceae.
CGUUGGGACUUGAUGGAUGGCUGAGAUGACUUGCAGUUGGAGUUGUGGUAUAGUAGCUUAGAUAUGGCUAGGGCACGGAACAGGGGAGAAAAUACGUGAACUUGGGGUGGCCAUGUGUUGAAAAGGAAAUUGGGAAGUUUGGAUACGUGGGGAGUGAAGGAGAGAGACUUGUUUGGAUUCAUGAAAAUAAAUUAUUUGGGAUGGCACGUGCUGAGAAAUGAAAAUUGGGGUCGACUCUAAUUGGUUGGGAAGAUCCGAUUCAUGGGGUGCAUGUGAUUUGGGUUCAGGGGUCAUCCCAGAUGAAUUUGAUU